AGAUUUGAUCAAAUCUACACUAAUGCAUCUUCCAUAAUAAUAUCUUCAAACAACUUAAUAUUUUUUUUAAUUAAUUUUCCUUAAUCUGAUUUUUAAAUGAAAUAUUUUAAUGCUGAAAAACAACUUUCCUUAUAUUUCGAGCUUGCUAUUAAUCACCAUCACAACUACAUUCUGAUUUCAUAUCUUAACUAAGUAACUGAUUCAACAAACUACU
This 214-nucleotide long non-coding RNA is filed under the name Brassica napus (rape). RNAcentral describes it as "long non-coding RNA (BNAP_LNC011439)". Lineage: Eukaryota; Viridiplantae; Streptophyta; Magnoliopsida; Brassicales; Brassicaceae. The record is from RNAcentral.